This is a long non-coding RNA of Eptesicus fuscus (big brown bat), 1832 nucleotides long. RefSeq lists it as uncharacterized. The record is from RefSeq and is a predicted model, not a curated record. Lineage: Eukaryota; Metazoa; Chordata; Mammalia; Chiroptera; Vespertilionidae. The transcript is spliced from 4 exons.
CUCUCUUUCAAAAUCCAGAUCUCUCUCUCUCUUUCUCUCUCUCCCUCUAUGCCCCCUCCCCCACCCUUUUCCACACCAUGAAAAAUAAAUGGCCAUCUGCAAACCAAGAAGAAAGCUUUCACCAGACACCAGUUCUGCUGGCAUCUUGAUCUUGGACUUCCCAGCCACCAGAACUCUUUCAUUAUGGACUUCCGACGUAUACCCUUAGACUUCUCAUUGGCCCUUCUCAGCCAUUAACGCAGCACUGUACCUAAGAAUACGCACCGUGAUGCUGGAACAAAGCCUGGAGGUGACCGGCUGCGUCCCACGACCCAUGCCUGGUGUCCCCCUCCUGGAGCCACGGCCCGAGCCAGCAUUUAUGAAAUGCCUACUGCAUGCCAAGUCUUACUAAGAGAGGCCAGUAGAGAUAGCAAUAGGAACAAAUGCUUGUUUUGUUCUUGGGGAAUCUGGACCUUCCGAAACACCGAGAGUAGCUGAAACGUGAGAGGAAGACCGACUCCAGAUUUGCCAGAACCUGAACCAGCAUUUGACUUAGUCCUGUUUGUUGGGGAUCAGGGUCACUGUGCCUUUGAGUGCCUCAUUAUGUCUAUGCUCCCUCUCGUUAUACUCGGGCUCUCCCUUUCCUCUCCUUCGUCUCUGUAGGACAGGCUCACUCCCAUACUGGAGGCUGAUGGAUGGCCACCUUGCCCUUUCCGAUUCAUUUGUCAAGCAGACCCAGGACUACUCUCAGUUGCAGGAUGAGCCAAGUGAGUUCUUUCCUGCUCUGGUAACAUUCUCCCAGGCCUAGUGGGUGUGUUAUAUUGGUCCGGAACAUGUGUUAAGCCUGACCAUGUUAGUGUAAUGGAUUUCUGCAUGCUCCACCUUACUCACUCGCCUGCCCUGAGAUUCAGACACAUAUGCCAGUUAUUGUAAUUUGGGGUUUCUUUGUCACAAUCCUUUGUAUAUCUAUCUCCCUUAGAACAUCAACAGGGAGUUGACUUGAGCAAAUGAAGCAGACUUUGGUCAACCCUAGGUUCCUGCCAAAGGGACAUUUAACAACAAUAAAAACACUAGAUACAUAAGCACUACAAAACUAGCAAUAAAAACACUAACAACAGAGUUACUCCUCUGCUCUCGUUCAGCUAAGUGCAAUUGGAACAGCUGUCAUGCACUAGACACUGGGUUGGGGAGUUUUCACAGACUGUAUCCUGUAACCAACACAGCCGCUGUGGUGCAUGACCUUCACCCAAUUUUCUUCAGUAUGGGGAAAACAAGACUCAAAAAGUUUGACCGCUACUCCUCCUGCUAACCUUGAAAUCUGACUUCCCAAUUCCAUUCCCCAGAGUCUUUCCAUUUCCUUGAAAGCGAGGCCCUGGGUAAGACAGACAGUGAAUCUAGACCCCUGUGGGUGUUUAAAAAAAUUUAAAUAAAUUGUUUAAUUCAUUCCUCCACCAAAUCAAGAACUGGAAGAAAACCGAAGAAAUAAGUAAACACAAUCCUGCUCAGAAUGCUAUCCACUAAGUAGGAAUUCUACAAUGGAGCAUUCUGCGGGAAGGGGAUCAUUCCCUGCCUUUCCUUCAUUAACCCAAUUAAAAUCUCAUCAACACAGAAGGAAAUCAAAGGCAGAGUCAGAAAGAGAUUGUGGCUAUGCCUCCAGGAUGAAAAGCCAGAUGGUCAGGUCUCUCCACCAACCUGUCUGUCCAUUCUUAACUAUAAGUCCCAUUGGCCACACUUCUCAGAUGUGUAAGCUAUCUUUACUUCUAGCAAAAUGUCAUCCCCACCCCUGAAGUUAGGCACAUCUAUGGAAAACAGAUUAAUAACCAGAUUGAAAUGUAUCUUCAACGCCUGGCAAA